UCUACAAGUUCCCUCACUGAUGAGCAACACAAUCCAUACCGUGAAAUGGUCAUUGAUGCUUUUAGGAAUAACCAUGAAACAUUGGGUCAUACAGAGACUAGUGACGGUUUUGAGGAAGAACCUAAUGAUCAAGCUAAAGAGUUUUUUUGACCUUUUACGGGCUUCCUAGAAACCACUGUAUGAGGGGAGCUCCAUGUCUGUGUUGGAAAUGGCUUCUAGAAUUGUAUCUAUGAAGUGUGAAUACAAUUUGCCUCAUCGGUGCGUUGAUGCAUUUGCUUCUUUACUAAAUGAGGUAUUACAUAACAACAACAUGGGUAAGACAUUUUAUGAUACAAAGAAGAUUCUUAAAGGUUUGGAGCUUCUCCAUGAGAAAAUUCAUGUAUGCCCGAAAGGUUGCAUGUUAUUUUGGAGAGCUGAUGCUCAAUUGGACAAGUGUAGAGUGUGUCAAAGCAACAGAUACAAGAAAACUUCACAAGGGUCUUUGCUACCGCUGAAACCCCUCACUUAUUUCUUAAUCACUCCUAGGUUGCAAAGGUUGUAUGCAACCAAGAAUGUUGCCGAAGAAAUGACUUGGCACUCUAAAAAUCCUCGAAUCCAAGGCAUCAUGGCACAUCCUAGUGAUAGUGAAGCUUGGAAGCACUUGGACACAUCAUUUCCCGAGUUUUGAUCAGAACCUCGUAAUGUGCGACUCGGAUUGUGUACCGAUGGGUUUGCUCCUCAAGGUAAGUUUGGUGGUCAAUAUUUUUGUUGGCCGUUGAUUUUAACCCCUUACAACUUGCCUCUUUCUAUGUGCAUGAAAAAGCCAUUCAUGUUCUUGUCCUUGCUUAUUUCGGGUUCUAAGAAUCCAAAAGGGAAUUUGGAUGUUUACAUGCAACCUCUAGUCGAGAAUUUGAAGAAAUUAUGGGAUGUUGGUGCAACAACUUAUGACAUUUCUAGAAAGUAGAAUUUUAAUCUGCGUGCUGCCAUUCUGUGGACAAUAAGUGAUUUUCUGGCCUAUGGUAUGCUUUCUGGUUAGGCUACAGCCGGGAAAAAGGCUUGCCCUUACUGUAUGGACAAGGCUAAAACGUUUUGGCUUGACCAUGGGGGUAAAGUCUCGUGGUUUGAUUGUCAUAGACAAUUCCUUUCUGUUGAUCACCCAUUUCGUAACAACAAAGUCGCCUUCUGUAGAAACAAGGUGGAGAAGAGUCAUCCACCACACAUCUUGUCCGACGAGGAGUUGUGGCAGUGUGUUAAAGAAAUGCCAAAAGCUACGGAUGGCCCCAAAGCUCUUGAAAGACUUAAAAAGUCGAAAAAGAGUUGGUUCAAACAAAGCACUUUAUGGGAGCUACCGUAUUGGAAGACUCUAUUGGUACACCAUAACCUAGAUGUCAUGCAUAUUGAGAAGAAUUUUUUUGACCAACUGUUUCAUACUGUUAUGGAUGAGAAAAAAGACUUGCGACACACCCGCCGCCCGAAAAAAUAUUGCCAAGUUUUGUAAACGUCCACAUCUCCAUGUUAUGGAGGAUGCUCGAGGAAACGAAACUAUAUCGAAGGCACCAUUCUCCCUCGAUAGGGCCCAAAAACUGGUACUAUGCAAUUGGGUCAAAGAUUUGAAGUUUCAGGACGAUUAUGCUUCUGACUUGGCAAGGUGUGUAGACUUACAAUCGUGUAAGCUAUAUGGUAUGAAAAGCCACGAUUGCUAUGUCUUUAUAGAGAGAUUGUUACCGGUUGCUUUCAAGGAAUUGCUCUCUCUUCAUGUGUGGAAAGCCAAUACUGAGAAGUUUAUUCUUUCGUGACUUGUGUUGUUCCACAAUCACCUUGACAUUGAAAGGUAGGAACACAACAUUGCUUAGAUAUUGUGUAAGCUUGAGAAGAUAUUUCCUCCAUCAUUCUUCAAUUUCAUGGAACAUUUACCUGUCCACUUGCCAUAUGAAGCUCGGUUAUGUGGACAUGUUCAUUACCAUUGGAUGUAUCCGUUUGAAAGGUUUCUUAAUCAUUUAAAACGCAAAAUUGGCAACAAAGCCCGUGUUGAAGGGUCCAUUUGCAUGGCAUACCUUGCCGAAGAGAUAUCAAACUUUUGUAGCAAGUACUUUCAGGAAGGUGUAGAUCCGAAAACUAGGGACCUACCACAAAAGGUUCAUAAUGAUGUUCAAAGUAACUUGGAUGAAAGUGUCCCAAAAUGCUUUAGGGUUGAUUACGGACGUCCUUCCACCAGAGGUGUUCUUCGGUUCUUGGAUGAGGCUGAACUUAUACGAGCACACUUGUAUGUGUUAGCUAAUAUUGGAAUUUUAGAGCACUACGAGAGGGGUUUUGAGGAGUACAUUCUACAUACUUGACCCACAAUGCGUAAAUAUGAUGUGUGGGUUCAUCAUGAAGUUGAGUUCCUCGAAUGGUUUAGGAUGAAAGUGAUUCAAGAUAAGCCGGAUGAUGACGUAUUGUUUGCUUUAGCAAUGGGUCCAUCAAAACGAGUGCGCACUUGGAACCAGUACUAUGUUAACGGAUACAAAUUCCAGACUCAUGCACAUGGAAUGCAUAAAUCAACCCAGAAUUAUGAUGUUUGGGUGUCAAAUGAGGAAGGUGGAGAUUUUUUUUUGUAUCUUACAGGAUGUCAUUGAGCUUGAGUUCACUAGUGUGACCACAGUUUAUAAAAGUGUUUUGUCCAAGUGCAAUUGGAUGGACCCGACAAGGGGCAUGAAUGUUGAUCAUUACAAACUAUUAGAAGUCAAUCACACAAAGAAAUACCCCAAGUACGAUCCUUUUGUGCUAUCAUACUAGGCAAAGCAGGUGUACUUUGCGCCGUACCCUAGUUUGAAAAAAGAUCGUGCUCAAUGGUGCGCUGUGCUUAAGACUAAGGCAAGGUCUACUGUUGAUGCUCCAGUAGAUGACGAGGUUUUACAAGAAACACAUGUUGAGGCACCAACCUUGAGUGCUCCGGAUGAUAUUCCUGGGUACGAGGACGGCGAUGAUUCUGAUGAAGAAGAUAUCCCAUACAUUGAACCCCCUUUGGAGGAGUCAAACUUUGAGGACUCAACCGAUAGUAAUGAUGCUGAAGACGCUAUUUUUUGGGAUGAUGAUACUGAUGAGGACGAUUAUAGUGAUGAAGGGGAUGCAUGAGAACCUCUAGAGUUUGUGUAAUCGGAUAGUUUUAUAUGUAAUAAUUUUCUACGGUUUUCUAUCCUAAUUUUUCUGUUUUAUUUAUCAGAAUUGAAUCUCCUGCUUUUUGCUUCAUGACAUUAUUGCUAACAUGAUAUCAAUUUCGAUUUUAGGCAAGAAUUAGAUGGUAUAUAUUCUUAUUCUAGGGUUCAUGUAGUAUCAAUUUUUGCGUUUUUGGUUUGAAUUUUUUACUUGCGUGUUCAAUUGCAAUUUUAUUUUUCUCUUUUGUUGAUUUCUGCUGCAUUUGAUAGUUUAUAUUGCUAUAAUUGCUGGUUAUUUUGUGUUUUCCCACCUAAAUUGCUGCUGUUGCCAUUGCUUCUUGAAGGGGUUGUUGGAGUUUCUGAUUUUUUACUAAAGGGUCCAAGACGUCAGCUUUGUUAUAUGCCCAAUGAAUUUUAGAACUAGAAUUCACUAGGGGGUUUAAAAAUUUGGGAAAUAAAUCUGAAAUUUUGGCUAAUUUUAGUAAAAAUUUGGGGGUUGGAUCCCCAAAUGUAAAUUUCUAAUGCUGAGGAUCACCAAUAUAAAUUUCUGAUGCUACUUGAUUUAUUUGGUCUCAUAUGAUUUUUUUUGCCCAGGUUCUUAUGACAUUAGGUAAACGACGAGUUUUGGUACGGGGGGUCACUGGCUAUAGGAAGGAACUUUUCCCAUCGUCACAAACGCAAAACAGCCAGGGUAGUCAUGUUCCAGAGACACCAAUAGAUGACAGUCAUGUUUCAGAGACACCGAUACCAAAGACCCCAGUAGAUGACUCUGAGACAUAGUAUUUUGGAUCCCCUCUAAUUAAUGCUAGUACACCAGCUACCCAGAAUACGUCUACACCUGUUGUUGAGCCUGGUGAGAGUUCUUUCCAAGGGCUGAGACGGACUUUACACCCUGACGGGUUAUGGUUCCAUAACCAUAAAGUGUCCAAUGCAAUCACAGACAUCAUCCAGGCUCACUUUCGCAAACCUUGGAUUAACUACAAGAAGGUCGACAAUGGCACUAGGACUCAUUGGUGGAACCAGUUUAAGGAUCGGUUCAUUUGGCCUCCAGACUUGCAGAGUGUUGUUGAAAUAGAGUACAAGAAGAAGGCUGCAAAACAUUUGAGCGACUUGUCCUACAAUUAUAGUGUUAGAAAUCCAGAACGUCCAUUCUGGAUGGGAGAAACUGUCUUUGCAGAAUUAUUGGCUCUUCGGAAGGAUGAUAAGUUCUUAAAGAAGUCUGAACAAGCUAAAAAGAACUGAAGAGGCGGUACCCUAUCUAAUCCUAUUGAACCGUCACACUUCCAGGCAAAGGAUCUGGUGGAGUUCUCCCGUCCGCCCCUGAGGUGUUCUUAAAGACCCAUUUCAAGGACGUUCCCGGUAAAGGAAAAGUGCCAGCCAAUAAGAGGGCUAGAGAGAUCGCAAUAAUAUCCAAUAAUUGUUAUUCAAUUUAUUAUCUGAAUUAUAUGCAUAAUAAUAACCAUUUUGAGUAAGUUUUAUGCAACUUUAACUAGAAUUAGUAGAAAUGUUAGAAAUGUGAUCUAAAUGUGGUUAUUUCCAGUGUUACAAACUUCAGUGCAUGCAUAAAACAGAUGGUAAAAC
Chenopodium quinoa (quinoa) is the source of this 4694-nucleotide long non-coding RNA. RefSeq lists it as uncharacterized. Lineage: Eukaryota; Viridiplantae; Streptophyta; Magnoliopsida; Caryophyllales; Amaranthaceae. The record is from RefSeq and is a predicted model, not a curated record. The transcript has 7 exons.